UAAGACGAACCGUGCGAACGUUGUUCGGAUUCACUGGGCUUAAAGGGCGCGUAGGCGGGCUCGCAAGUCAGGGGUGAAAUCCUCCGGCUCAACCGGAGAACAGCCUUUGAUACUGCGAGCCUCGAGGAAGGUAGGGGCAUGUGGAACUUCCGGUGGAGCGGUGAAAUGCGUAGAUAUCGGAAGGAACGCCGGUGGCGAAAGCGACGUGCUGGACCUUUUCUGACGCUGAGGCGCGAAAGCCAGGGGAGCAAACGGGAUUAGAUACCCCGGUAGUCCUGGCCCUAAACGAUGGGUACUAGAUUGUAGACUGACAUGGGUUUACAGUCGAAGCAAAAGUGAUAAGUACCCCGCCUGGGGAGUAUGGUCGCAAGGCUG
Molecule: ribosomal RNA, 375 nt
Filed under: uncultured bacterium
Lineage: Bacteria
Description: bacterial SSU rRNA
Rfam family: Bacterial small subunit ribosomal RNA
Source: RNAcentral